Molecule: long non-coding RNA, 156 nt
Organism: Dermochelys coriacea (leatherback sea turtle)
Lineage: Eukaryota; Metazoa; Chordata; Testudines; Dermochelyidae
Exons: 3
Source: RefSeq, a predicted model, not a curated record
UGGGACAUCUGGGUGCAGGCAGCUCAGCGUGGGAUCUGAGUGCAGGGGAGAUCUGGAUGCACAGGGCUUGUUGCAGGGUUCUGAGUGCAACAGUAAUGGAACUCUGCAGCAGGGACCAGGUGAAGAUGGUUGGGGCUCAGCAAAGGGGGUUCAAGG